Molecule: ribosomal RNA, 252 nt
Filed under: uncultured bacterium
Lineage: Bacteria
Description: partial 16S ribosomal RNA
Rfam family: Bacterial small subunit ribosomal RNA
Source: RNAcentral
UACGGAGGAUGCGAGCGUUAUCCGGAUUUAUUGGGUUUAAAGGGUGCGCAGGCGGAGGCACAAGUCAGCGGUAAAAUCGCGGGGCUCAACCCCGCUCCGCCGUUGAAACUGUGUCCCUUGAGUGCGCGAAGGGUAGGCGGAAUGCGUGGUGUAGCGGUGAAAUGCAUAGAUAUCACGCAGAACUCCGAUCGCGAAGGCAGCCUACCGGCGCGCUACUGACGCUGAGGCACGAAAGCGUGGGUAUCGAACAGG